UGUGUAAGCAGAUCGUAGAAUAUUCGAGUAAAGUUAGACAGUUAGAAAGAGUAAUAAGUGCGCAAACAAGGAAAAACAUUAAGCGUGCAAAAACAUCGAACACAAUUCGCCACCGAGGAUCGCCUUGACAGCACAACGCGUGCUACAAUUUUCUUGCGCCGCAACCACAACACACAAUCGUCGCGACUCGCUCACACCAGCAGGGGGAAAAGGACAACACUUCCGUCGCUGCAGAAAAAGCCAGCUGCCAUCAGAAACCAUCGCAAAUCCAUCUGGUGCGGAUCGUUCCGUACGCUGCGCGGAAAAAACCACGUGCAAGUGCGUCGCGCGUGUGUGCAGUUGCCGUAUCGGGGGAAAUUGGUGCGGCCAACGCCACAGAAGAGCUCGCCAGCCGAAGGAGGAACCGGGCUGGAUUGUUCGCCUUGUAGCCGCACGGAACAGCCACGAAACGUCCGCGGAUCACCUGAUAGGCUGAGACAGCGUCGGCGGCUCGAGCGCAUCCUCGCAAGCGUGCAGGCACACCCACACGUGGGACGGUCGUGCCAGAGAAUCGGAACAAGGACCAAGGGCACCGGAAACGUCCAAGCACACCGCUGGAAGCGGUAACCACCCCGUCCAGAGACCACCAGGACGCCGAAGGAACGCCGGUGAGUUGCUAAGGGCAAAAAAGGAGUUUCGUUGCAUUAAUCCGAUCCAUUAUUGUGCCAGAUUUGCUGCCAAAUCACCAUUCGAACACCGGUGAAAGAGAACCGUGUGAAGACCCACGAGGAUCGUCCAGAACCGAAGGCCAGUUCAGCAACGAUCGCCAGGCCCAGUCUCGCCGAAGAUCAAGAGAGCGGAGAAAGAAGGCCGCGGAAAACAAAAGGGAUUGCUUGCGAGCGUGAGUCAGCAACAAAAACCGGGUCGAUGAGGCAGCUAAUGGGUGAACCUUUCUCAUCCCAUGUAGGAUCCCUUUUUCUGCGGAGGCUUAGAACGGCCCUAAUCUGCGCGGUACCGGAGCAGCAACACGGGCGAAGCUCGCACGAGACGGCCGGGACGUCACCGCGAGAGUUUUCGCGAGCGAUCGGAUUCGUUUGGCGGAUCAAC
Long non-coding RNA from Culex pipiens pallens (northern house mosquito), 1086 nucleotides. RefSeq lists it as uncharacterized. Lineage: Eukaryota; Metazoa; Arthropoda; Insecta; Diptera; Culicidae. The record is from RefSeq and is a predicted model, not a curated record. The transcript is spliced from 3 exons.